Molecule: ribosomal RNA, 253 nt
Filed under: uncultured bacterium
Lineage: Bacteria
Description: partial 16S ribosomal RNA
Rfam family: Bacterial small subunit ribosomal RNA
Source: RNAcentral
UACAGAGGUCCCAAGCGUUGUUCGGAUUCACUGGGCGUAAAGAGCGUGUAGGCGGCCAGGUAGGUCUGCUGUGAAAACUCGAGGCUCAACCUCGAGACGUCGGCGGAAACCAUCUGGCUAGAGUCCGGAAGAGGAGAGUGGAAUUCCUGGUGUAGCGGUGAAAUGCGCAGAUAUCAGGGAGAACACCCGUGGCGAAGGCGGCUCUCUGGGACGGUACUGACGCUGAGACGCGAAAGCGUGGGGAGCGAACAGG